ACGGAAGGCAGCAGCUAAGAAUAUUCCGCAAUGGACGAAAGUCUGACGGAGCGACGCCGCGUGGAUGAUGAAGGUCGGAAGAUUGUAAAAUCCUUUUAUAACUGAGGAAUAAGUACUUUGAGAGAAACGGAGUAUGGUGACUGUAGGUUAUGAAUAAGCAACGGCUAAUUACGUGCCAGCAGCCGCGGUAACACGUAAGUUGCGAGCGUUGUUCGGAAUUAUUGGGCGUAAAGGGCAUGUAGGCGGUCUGUCAAGCCAGGCGUGAAAGCCAGGGGCUCAACCCCUGAACUGCGCUUGGAACUGGCGGACUGGAGUCGCUGAGGGGGAACCGGAAUUCCUGGUGUAGGGGUGAAAUCUGUAGAUAUCAGGAAGAACACCGAUGGCGAAGGCAGGUUUCCAGCAGACGACUGACGCUGAGGUGCGAAGGUGCGGGGAGCAAACAGGAUUAGAUACCCUGGUA
RNAcentral lists this ribosomal RNA (460 nucleotides) under uncultured Treponema sp. RNAcentral's name for it is "partial 16S ribosomal RNA". It matches the Rfam family "Bacterial small subunit ribosomal RNA", at positions 341 to 792 of the family's 1533-position model. Lineage: Bacteria; Pseudomonadati; Spirochaetota; Spirochaetia; Treponematales; Treponemataceae. The record is from RNAcentral.